Non-coding RNA from Equus caballus (horse), 2003 nucleotides. Lineage: Eukaryota; Metazoa; Chordata; Mammalia; Perissodactyla; Equidae. The record is from RefSeq and is a predicted model, not a curated record.
AGCAGCGUGUAAACAUGCUGCCAGUGAGAGUGGAGGUUUGGUGAGACAAACAGUAACAAAAACAGACACAGAAGGGUAACCAGGGAAAAAUAACAGCGUGGCAAAAGAAAAUUCAGGAAGGAAGAAAACGAACAAUUCUGCUUGUCCUUUAAGCAGCCUGAAAACCUAAUGUUGCAAACAAGAUGGUUUAGAAAGGGAUGUAUGUCCAAAUUCACGGUGCUAGCUCUCUCUGCCUUGCUUAUCAAGGUGGCGGAUAACUUCCGGGAUCAAGUUGUCCAGCAACCUGAGGAGGGUUAGAAAAAGCCGGGUGUGUCCUGGGCACAGAUGCCGUAAUCCACUCCUACCCCAGGUUGACUGAGCUUGAGCCACUAAUUCCACUUUUCACCCUUGAUUCUCAAUCAACCUCAAUGGGGUUUUCCUUGUUUUUUGUUUUUUUGUUUUUCCCAUCACCAAUCACUUGAAAGAAGCUUGCUUUGGCUGGAGUCUGACAGGCCUGGGCUCCACGGGCCGCAGGUUGGCUCCCUCACAGCUCUCUGUGGUAGAGGAGGAAGGACCAGCUCCCUCCGUGGAGGGGGUGGUGGGGCACAGCACACCCACCGUCUCCGGGGCUGUCUGGGACUGGCCCUCACCACCGGCCGGUGGCGAGGAUUAGGCUUUGGGAAUUUAGACACCAACAGCAGAAACAAUGGCGGCACUCUGCGCGAGAGGCAGCUGUCACUGGAUGAGAUGCCUGGAACUGCUGCAACCAUCUUGCGACCAACCCAGGGAUGACAUGGACUCCGGGAAGAUCAUCUGGCCCGGAGCAUUGCUGAGAGCAGGCUCCUGGAGGCCAUGCCUGGAGUCUGCCCUACUGUUAGCCGGUUUGCCUUGUGGUCUUCUGCUAUUUGCAGCCAAACUCCCCUUAACUCUCUGCUGCUACACUUAGGCCUUAGAGAAAAGGCCUCUCUGAGAAGGUGACACUCAAGCUGAGGCAGGAAGGAUUAGGUGGAAGAGAGGCAAUGUUAAGAGUCAGAGAAAACAGUAUCUGUAAAGUCUUUAAAGAGUGAACGACUUUGGCUUGUUUGAGACACUGAAAGCUUGUAGGACUGAAGUAUAGUAACUGAAGGAGAGCGUGAAAUGAGAUAAGAUUAGCAGAAAAGAUCAUCCAGGGCCUUCCUGGCCACAGUAAGAAGUUUAGAGUAAUUCUAAGUGUACUAAGGAGUCACUGAAGGACUAAAAGCAGAGACGUGAUGUGAUCCCAAGAUCAUUCUGGCUGCUGCUGUUUGGAGAAUAUCCCGGAAGAGGGAGUGGAGCAGUGGGCAGACCACCUGGGGCUACCGCCGGAAUCCAGAUGCCUUCUUCACUAUAAAAUUUGCACAGCAUUAUGAAGGAGAAAAAAGAGAACACAAAAAGAAAUUAGAUUCAGCAGGAAACAGGAGCAGGAGAAUGUUCAAGAACAAAACUUUGGAAAAAUAUAGACUGAUGAAACUCUCCUCAGAUCCUGCAUGUGGAUCCGUUCGUAUUAUGAAUCUCUUACCUGAACCUUAAACAAAGAAGAGGCAGCCUCUAAUAUCAGGACAACAUCUGACAACCUGAGAGCACUCCAGAGGCACGUAUUGAAUACUCAGAAAACUGUGUGUCUAGAUGUUUAUAAACUACUGAGGUCAAGGUUUUCUCAUUGAUAGGAGGAAGAAACAAAGAGGAACUAUACUGUAUCUUCUAAAGUUGACCAAGACAAAGUCCCCAAUCACUGCAUGCUGAUCCCAUCUGAGGUGCAGACAAUUUGAGAAUCCAUAAGAUAUUAUUUGGAUUUUAUCCCCAGUCCUAGACCCUUUGGUGUUUAAUUAAUGUGCUGAACCCAACCUUAUACUCACCUCUCUAACCCCCUCCUGAAUAAGACUAGAGGGGGGUUACUGAGAGGAUAAUUACUGUUUCUGGAAAUAAUACCAGAAAUCCUUUUUUCUUCCUCCCCAAAGCCCCAGUGCAUGGUCGUAUAUCCUAGCUGUAAGUCCUUCUAGCUCUCC